UACGGAGGGGGGCUAGCGUUGUUCGGAAUUACUGGGCGUAAAGCGCACGUAGGCGGCUUUGCAAGUUAGAGGUGAAAGCCCGGGGGCUCAACUCCGGAAUUGCCUUUAAAACUGCAUCGCUAGAAUUGUGGAGAGGUAAGUGGAAUUCCGAGUGUAGAGGUGAAAUUCGUAGAUAUUCGGAAGAACACCAGUGGCGAAGGCGACUUACUGGACACAUAUUGACGCUGAGGUGCGAAAGCGUGGGGAGCAAACAGG
Molecule: ribosomal RNA, 255 nt
Filed under: uncultured bacterium
Lineage: Bacteria
Description: partial 16S ribosomal RNA
Rfam family: Bacterial small subunit ribosomal RNA
Source: RNAcentral